CUGGGUUUGACAUGGCCGCAAAACUGUCAGAGAUGGCAGGUCCUUCGGGGGCGGUCACAGGUGGUGCAUGGCUGUCGUCAGCUCGUGUCGUGAGAUGUUGGGUUAAGUCCCGCAACGAGCGCAACCCUUGUCCCAUGUUGCCAGCAAGUUGUGUUGGGGACUCAUGGGAGACUGCCGGGGUCAACUCGGAGGAAGGUGGGGAUGACGUCAAGUCAUCAUGCCCCUUAUGUCCAGGGCUUCACGCAUGCUACAAUGGCCGGUACAAACCGUUGCGAGCCCGUGAGGGGGAGCGAAUCGGAAAAAGCCGGUCUCAGUUCGGAUCGGGGUCAGCAACUCGACCCCGUGAAGUCGGAGUCGCUAGUAAUCGCAGAUCAGCAACGCUGCGGUGAAUA
RNAcentral lists this ribosomal RNA (392 nucleotides) under uncultured bacterium. Its description in RNAcentral is "bacterial SSU rRNA". It matches the Rfam family "Bacterial small subunit ribosomal RNA", at positions 975 to 1368 of the family's 1533-position model. The record is from RNAcentral.